This 581-nucleotide ribosomal RNA is filed under the name uncultured fungus. RNAcentral's name for it is "eukaryotic LSU rRNA". It matches the Rfam family "Eukaryotic large subunit ribosomal RNA", at positions 40 to 647 of the family's 3401-position model. The record is from RNAcentral. Lineage: Eukaryota; Fungi.
AUAUCAAUAAGCGGAGGAAAAGAAACCAACAGGGAUUGCCCUAGUAACGGCGAGUGAAGCGGCAACAGCUCAAAUUUGAAAUCUGGCGCAAGCCCGAGUUGUAAUUUGUAGAGGAUGCUUCUAGGUAGCGACCGGUCUAAGUUCCUUGGAACAGGACGUCAUAGAGGGUGAGAAUCCCGUAUGUGACCGGCCCGCACCUUCUACGUAGCUCCUUCGACGAGUCGAGUUGUUUGGGAAUGCAGCUCUAAAUGGGAGGUAAAUUUCUUCUAAAGCUAAAUACCGGCCAGAGACCGAUAGCGCACAAGUAGAGUGAUCGAAAGAUGAAAAGCACUUUGGAAAGAGAGUUAAAAAGCACGUGAAAUUGUUGAAAGGGAAGCGCUCACAACCAGACUUCUGGGCGGUGUUCCGCCGGUCUUUUGACCGGUCUACUCGCCGUCCCGAGGCCAACAUCAUCUGGGACCGCUGGAUAAGACCUUAGGAAUGUAGCUCCCCUCGGGGAGUGUUAUAGCCUAUGGUGAUGCAGCGCGUCUCGGGUGAGGUCCGCGCUUCGGCAAGGAUGUUGGCGUAAUGGUUGUCAGCGG